This 140-nucleotide microRNA precursor is filed under the name Pteropus vampyrus (large flying fox). RNAcentral's name for it is "miRNA (ENSPVAG00000025551.1)". The record is from RNAcentral. Lineage: Eukaryota; Metazoa; Chordata; Mammalia; Chiroptera; Pteropodidae.
CAGGAUGCAUAGUUAAGUUUUAAUUCAAAUAAACAACAAAUACUUUUAUUAUAAGUCUGUCCCGUGCAAUAUUUGGGACAUAUUUAUACUAAAAUCUAUUCUUUAUUUAACUGAAAUUCAAACUUAACUAUGUUUCUGUA